AAUCAACGCUGGCGGCGUGCCUCAGACAUGCAAGUCGAACGCGAAAGUCCCCGUUCGGGGGACAAGUAGAGUGGCGCACGGGUGAGUAACACGUAGGUAAUCUACCUUCGGAUGGGGAAUAACAACCGGAAACGGUUGCUAAUACCGCAUAAUGCAGCGGCACCUAAUGGUGACAGUUGUUAAAGCGGGGGAUCGUAAGACCUCGCGUCUGAAGAGGAGCCUGCGGCGGAUUAGCAGUUGGUAAGGUAAUGGCUUACCAAGGCUACGAUCCGUAACCGGCCUGAGAGGGCGGUCGGUCACACUGACACUGACAUACGGGUCAGA
This 324-nucleotide ribosomal RNA is filed under the name uncultured bacterium. Its description in RNAcentral is "bacterial SSU rRNA". It matches the Rfam family "Bacterial small subunit ribosomal RNA", at positions 32 to 335 of the family's 1533-position model. The record is from RNAcentral.